CCAAGAAGUCUAACGUGUGGGCGAGUCUUCGGGGACCUUGUGAACCCUAUGAAGGCGCAAUAAAAGUGAAGGUCCCGCGCGUGCGCCCUGGCCUCGUGUCGGGGUUUGCGUGCGUGGGGCUGCAGUGGGAUCCCCAGUCUAAGGGCUGGGGCGCACCACUGGCCCGUCCUAUGACCGCUUCGCCGGUCGGGCGGAGCAAGAGCCCACGCGUUGGGACCCGAAAGAUGGUGAACUAUGCCUGGGCAGGACGAGGCCAGAGGAAACUCUGGUGGAAGUCCGCAGCGGUUCUGACGUGCAAAUCGAUCGUCGGACCUGGGUAUAGGGGCGAAAGACUAAUCGAACCAUC
RNAcentral lists this ribosomal RNA (346 nucleotides) under Antichiropus verutus. RNAcentral's name for it is "partial 28S ribosomal RNA". It matches the Rfam family "Eukaryotic large subunit ribosomal RNA", at positions 666 to 944 of the family's 3401-position model. The record is from RNAcentral. Lineage: Eukaryota; Metazoa; Arthropoda; Diplopoda; Polydesmida; Paradoxosomatidae.